GCGGUGGAUGAUGUGGUUAAUUCGAUAGCAACGCGAAAACCUUACCUACCCUUGACAUGUCCGGAAUCCGAAGAGAUUUGGGAGUGCUCGCAAGAGAACCGGAACACAGGUGCUGCAUGGCUGUCGUCAGCUCGUGUCGUGAGAUGUUGGGUUAAGUCCCGCAACGAGCGCAACCCUUGUCAUUAGUUGCCAUCAUUUGGUUGGGCACUCUAAUGAGACUGCCGGUGACAAACCGGAGGAAGGUGGGGAUGACGUCAAGUCCUCAUGGCCCUUAUGGGUAGGGCUUCACACGUCAUACAAUGGUCGGUACAGAGGGUUGCCAACCCGCGAGGGGGAGCUAAUCCCACAAAGCCGAUCGUAGUCCGGAUCGCAGUCUGCAACUCGACUGCGUGAAGUCGGAAUCGCUAGUAAUCGUGGAUCAGCAUGUCACGGUGAAUACGUUCCCGGGUCUU
Molecule: ribosomal RNA, 452 nt
Filed under: uncultured Rhodocyclaceae bacterium
Lineage: Bacteria; Pseudomonadati; Pseudomonadota; Betaproteobacteria; Rhodocyclales; Rhodocyclaceae
Description: bacterial SSU rRNA
Rfam family: Bacterial small subunit ribosomal RNA
Source: RNAcentral